CCCAGCACAGAGGGAAAAGAAAAGGCCGGGACACCCAAGAACUUCUGUCUCUACCCCUGUCUGUCUCCAUUCUGAAGCUCUGUUCUUUGAAGGAGGCUGAGCAGAAUGUCUUCCUGGAAUUCUGUGGGUAGCAGCUCACAUUCCGUCACAACCGAGCCGUGAUUGCUGGUCCUCUGAGUCAGCGGUCCUCAGGAUGUUGUCCUUUCAUAUUAAGAAAUCCAUGUCAUCGUGAGCCUUAGAAAACCAUGUAACUCUGAGAAUGUCACCUGUCUAGUGUGUCUUGUGCCGUGUUCAGCUAGAGUAAAUACCUGGUCCCGGGCCCCAGGCUGAAUGUAACCUGGCAUUUGCAUGCCAGGCCUGUGCUCUUGGCGUGUUUACUUACCUCACCAAGGAAACAACACACUCCAGAAGCCUUGAGGGACCUCAAGUCCACACGGCCACUUCCUACACUGAG
Molecule: long non-coding RNA, 454 nt
Organism: Microtus oregoni (creeping vole)
Lineage: Eukaryota; Metazoa; Chordata; Mammalia; Rodentia; Cricetidae
Exons: 4
Source: RefSeq, a predicted model, not a curated record